GUGCUCACUUCGGCAGUACAUAUACUAAAAUUGGAACGAUACAGAGAAGAUUAACAUGGCCCACCCCUGUGCAAGGAUGACACGCAAAUUCAUGAAGAAUUCCAUAUUAAA
This is a small nuclear RNA of Vulpes vulpes (red fox), 111 nucleotides long. The record is from Ensembl. Lineage: Eukaryota; Metazoa; Chordata; Mammalia; Carnivora; Canidae.